This 186-nucleotide microRNA precursor is filed under the name Oryza brachyantha (malo sina). RNAcentral describes it as "MIR2118 microRNA precursor family". It matches the Rfam family "MIR2118 microRNA precursor family". Lineage: Eukaryota; Viridiplantae; Streptophyta; Magnoliopsida; Poales; Poaceae. The record is from Rfam by way of RNAcentral.
GCUAGGAAGAGGAAGAAAGAGAGAAUCUCAGAAUUGUAGGAAUGAGAACAUGAAGGAAAGCUUAAGCACUAGUGUCCGCUCUAAUAUUGGAGGUGGAAACCGAGAUUCAUGUUUUCCGAGAUUCAUGUUUUCCUGAUGCCUCUCAUUCCUAUGGUUCUUAGGUACUCCUUCCUCUUCCUAUGGGCU